This 465-nucleotide ribosomal RNA is filed under the name uncultured bacterium. RNAcentral describes it as "partial 16S ribosomal RNA". It matches the Rfam family "Bacterial small subunit ribosomal RNA", at positions 28 to 506 of the family's 1533-position model. The record is from RNAcentral.
GAUGAACGCUGGCGGCGUGCUUAACACAUGCAAGUCGAACGAUGAAGCCCAGCUUGCUGGGUGGAUUAGUGGCGAACGGGUGAGUAACACGUGAGUAACCUGCCCUUAACUCUGGGAUAAGCCUGGGAAACUGGGUCUAAUACCGGAUAGGAGCGUCCACCGCAUGGUGGGUGUUGGAAAGAUUUAUCGGUUUUGGAUGGACUCGCGGCCUAUCAGCUUGUUGGUGAGGUAAUGGCUCACCAAGACGACGACGGGUAGCCGGCCUGAGAGGGUGACCGGCCACACUGGGACUGAGACACGGCCCAGACUCCUACGGGAGGCAGCAGUGGGGAAUAUUGCACAAUGGGCGCGAGCCUGAUGCAGCGACGCCGCGUGAGGGAUGACGGCCUUCGGGUUGUAAACCUCUUUCAGUAGGGAAGAAGCGAAAGUGACGGUACCUGCAGAAGAAGCACCGGCUAACUACGU